GCUCCCGUCUCACCUGAAGAGCUCCGACAGCAUCAAUGUCUCCUGGCGCAGUCCGACCGCUCGUCCUCCAGCUUCGCAGGAGAGCCUCCAUCGGCCGCUGUCUGCUAAAACACCUGUCGGGAGCACCUUGAGCAAAACUAAAGCGGUGAGUUCUCGUGGAUCCUCUUCACUCCAGCGCUCGCGCAGCGAUGUGGACGUGAACGCCGCGGCCCGUGUGGAGUGUGUAAUGUCUGCCG
Molecule: long non-coding RNA, 236 nt
Organism: Cyprinus carpio (common carp)
Lineage: Eukaryota; Metazoa; Chordata; Actinopteri; Cypriniformes; Cyprinidae
Exons: 3
Source: RefSeq, a predicted model, not a curated record